CCUACGGGUGGCAGCAGUAGGGAAUCUUCCACAAUGGGCGAAAGUCUGAUGCAGCAACGCCGCGUGGGUGAAGAAGGUCUUCGGAUCGUAAAACCCUGUUGUUAGAGAAGAAAGUGCGUGAGGGUAACUGUUCACGUUUCGACGGUAUCUAACCAGAAAGCCACGGCUAACUCCGUGCCAGCAGCCGCGGUAAUACGUAGGGGGCAAGCGUUAUCCGGAUUUAUUGGGCGUAAAGGGAGCGCAGGCGGUCUUUUAAGUUUGAUGUGAAAGCCUACGGCUUAACCGGGGAAGUGCAUUGGAAACUGGGAGACUUGAGUGCAGGAGAGGAGGGAGGAAUUCCAGGUGUAGGGGUGAAAUCCGUAGAUAUAUGGAGGAACAUCAGUGGCGAAGGCGGCCAUCUGGUCCGGAAUUGACGCUGAGGUGCGAAAGCGUGGGUAGCAAACAGGAUUAGAUACCCGGGUAGUC
Molecule: ribosomal RNA, 465 nt
Filed under: uncultured bacterium
Lineage: Bacteria
Description: partial 16S ribosomal RNA
Rfam family: Bacterial small subunit ribosomal RNA
Source: RNAcentral